RNAcentral lists this ribosomal RNA (460 nucleotides) under uncultured bacterium. RNAcentral's name for it is "partial 16S ribosomal RNA". It matches the Rfam family "Bacterial small subunit ribosomal RNA", at positions 338 to 795 of the family's 1533-position model. The record is from RNAcentral.
CCUAGGGGUGGCUGCAGUGAGGAAUAUUGGUCAAUGGGCGCGAGCCUGAACCAGCCAAGUCGCGUGAGGGAGGACGGCCCUACGGGUUGUAAACCUCUUUUGCCGGGGAGCAACGGGCGUCACGUGUGGCGCCACUGAGAGUACCCGGAGAAAAAGCAUCGGCUAACUCCGUGCCAGCAGCCGCGGUAAUACGGAGGAUGCGAGCGUUAUCCGGAUUUAUUGGGUUUAAAGGGUGCGUAGGCGGGCUGUUAAGUCAGCGGUCAAAUGUCGGGGCUCAACCCCGGCCUGCCGUUGAAACUGGCGGCCUCGAGUGGGCGAGAAGUAUGCGGAAUGCGUGGUGUAGCGGUGAAAUGCAUAGAUAUCACGCAGAACUCCGAUUGCGAAGGCAGCAUACCGGCGCCCGACUGACGCUGAGGCACGAAAGCGUGGGUAUCGAACAGGAUUAGAUACCCGAGUAGUC